AGUGCAGCCAUCAUGCGUCUGAGCAGGCAGAGCAGUCUGCCAUCCAGGGAGCCAAGCUAUGGUUGAGUUUGGAAAAACUAAGAAGCUUUGCAGCUCCUAGGCCAUACUCCUCUACUACUCCAUCCCCUUUUGCCCAGGCAGUCUCCUCUGCUGUGAAAAAAGAGCCAUUUUUCAUCCCUGAGAACAAAAUCACCUACUUCUACUAAGUCUCCACACACGACUCCUAGCAGAAGUCCUUCAUCAGCCGUGCAAUAUAAAGGACUCUCCAAACUUCAGGAAUGUGAAAAUAUGGAGAUGAACAGCGACGGUCACACUCAGCAAGGAGACGAUGAAGCACAAUCUUUUAAUAAUGAGAUUGUUCAAGUGGACACAGAAAACCACCCAUAGUCCUUUAGGCUGCAUUAGCCACCACAGAGGACCAAAAUCUCUUUGUUCUUCCAUGGCACACAAGAGGAAAUUCCUUUUGAUCUCUUUUAUAAUUUGUCACCUGUGUACAAAAUUGAUGUAUUUUUGAAAAAUUUACAGAUGAGAAAAGAUUUUUUUAGUAAUACACCUUUGGCUCAGUUGCAAUUGAAAUGCAUCACUACUUUUUUAAUGCAUUACUGUUCUAUGGUUAGAAAUUAAAACAGUUCUGUAAGUUAUUAGACUUUUUUCUCCUAAUUUGAAAUUGUACAAUCUAAAUUAUACUGGAAGUCCAGGACUUCUGGUAAAGAUUAUUCUGCAGAUCUAUAUUUAAGUAUUAAAGAGUUUGGAUUAAUAUGUGAAAAUACACUGACGUGUGCUGUACCCCUGUUUCUGUUGUAAGACAGUGUUUUUUUAAUGAAUAAAGCUUUUAUGAACUAAUUUGAUUGUGAUUUA
This 858-nucleotide long non-coding RNA is filed under the name Gouania willdenowi (blunt-snouted clingfish). Its description in RNAcentral is "lncRNA (ENSGWIG00000026544.1)". Lineage: Eukaryota; Metazoa; Chordata; Actinopteri; Blenniiformes; Gobiesocidae. The record is from RNAcentral.